RNAcentral lists this ribosomal RNA (311 nucleotides) under uncultured soil bacterium. RNAcentral describes it as "bacterial SSU rRNA". It matches the Rfam family "Bacterial small subunit ribosomal RNA", at positions 26 to 337 of the family's 1533-position model. The record is from RNAcentral.
AGAUUGAACGCUGGCGGCAGGCCUAACACAUGCAAGUCGAGCGGUAGAGAGGUGCUUGCAUCUCUUGAGAGCGGCGGACGGGUGAGUAAUGCCUAGGAAUCUGCCUAGUGGUGGGGGAUAACGUUCGGAAACGGACGCUAAUACCGCAUACGUCCUACGGGAGAAAGCGGGGGACCUUCGGGCCUCGCGCCAUUAGAUGAGCCUAGGUCGGAUUAGCUUAGUUGGUGAGGUAAUGGCUCACCAAGGCGACGAUCCGUAACUGGUCUGGAGAGGAUGAUCAGUCACACUGGAACUGAGACACGGUCCAGACU